Molecule: long non-coding RNA, 675 nt
Organism: Oncorhynchus tshawytscha (Chinook salmon)
Lineage: Eukaryota; Metazoa; Chordata; Actinopteri; Salmoniformes; Salmonidae
Source: Ensembl
GUAUUUAUUUAAAGGCCUAUCCCUUGUUGGUAUUUAUUUAAAGGCCUAUCCCUUGUUGGUAUUUAUUUAAAGGCAUAUGUUUGGUCUGUAGUUGAGUGAGGCUAGUUCCUGCUGUGUCCCAUGGUCUGGACUUUACAUCUCUGGCUCUGGUGGUCCAUUGUGUGUGAUACGUCUCUUAACUUCUGAACAUGUCUUAUGUUUCUUAAGGAGGCUAGGAAGACGCAUGAAGCCAGCUUCAAUGUGUUCAGCAUGUUUCAGCAGAGACUCUCUACUUAUUUAGUCGUCUCCCUCUCUCCUUCUCUUGUUGUCUCCUCUCUCCUUCUUUAGUUGUCUCCUCUCUCCUUCUUUAGUUGUCUCCCUCUCUCCUUCUUUAGUUGUCUCUUCUCUCCUUCUUUAAUUGUCUCCUCUCUCCUUCUUUAGUCGUCUCCCUCUCUCCUUCUUUAGUUAUCUCCCUCUCUCCUACCUUAGGUUGUUUCCUCUCUCCUUCUUUAUUAUCUCCCUCUCUCCUUCUUUAGUCGUCUCCCCCUCUCCUUCUUUAGUUAUCUCCCUUUCUCCUUCUUUAGUUAUCUCCCUCUCUCCUUCUUUAGUCGUCUCCCCCUCUCCUUCUUUAGUUAUCUCCCUCUCUCCUUAUUUAGUUGUCUCCCUCUCUCCCUCUCUCCUUCAUUUACUCUGUUG